AUUGCUUCUCAGUCUUUGGGCUAAGGUCAAGUGCAGUAUCUGUCAGUGUAAUUUCUGAUAUGUCCUCCAAUAAACUGUCUGGGGGACAAAUGGAACUAAC
RNAcentral lists this small nuclear RNA (100 nucleotides) under Mesocricetus auratus (golden hamster). RNAcentral describes it as "U2 spliceosomal RNA". It matches the Rfam family "U2 spliceosomal RNA". From Rfam's summary of the family: U2 is a small nuclear RNA (snRNA) component of the spliceosome (involved in pre-mRNA splicing). Lineage: Eukaryota; Metazoa; Chordata; Mammalia; Rodentia; Cricetidae. The record is from Rfam by way of RNAcentral.